GGUAAAAGUAAGCGUAGAGUGCGCGUUUUGUUUGAUACGGGCAGCCAUAGGUCUUUUAUCACUGCGCGCGUGGCCACGUCGCUGUGAAUACGACCCCUUCGAAAGCAAUGGGUAGCGUUAAACACCUUUGGCCAACAGGCUGUAGGCUCUAACCUUAGAGAAGUAGUGCAUGUUGACCUAGUUCCUGUGGGGGGAGGUAAAAUUUCAAGUUUCGAAGCUAUUGUAGUUCCUGAAAUUUCGCAGGUCCACAAUGAGCAUUUAGAAAUUGCGCGAAACGAUUACCUACAUUCAGCCAAUAUAUGGUUUUCAGAUGUUUGUCAGAAGAGAGAGGAGCUGGAGAUAGAUAUUUUAAUAGGUACAGAUUAUUUAUGGAGUUUUCAGACAGGGAAAAUUGUACGAGGUAACAUAGACGAACCAGUUGCUAUAGAAACGUCUCUAGGUUGGGUCGCUAGUGGACCAAUGAAGAACAGUGCGGCUGUGGAAGGUGCGCAAGAGGUAGAUGCUAUUUUUGUUGGUAAUUGUAGUGUACAAACUGAUCAACUUGAGGAAAACGUAAAACAAAUGUGGGAUUUAGAGACCUUAGGAAUUGUUGAAGGUCAUGAGAUACAUGACGAAUUUGUUGAUUUUUUUUCAUUAAAUUUAACGGAAAUCGAUAUUCAGUAAAACUCCCGUGGCGAGACGGUCACGAGAACUUGCCAAGUAAUUUCGAACUUAGUUUAGGUCGCUUGAAAUCACAGGUUCGAAAGCUCAAAAAGGACUAAAGGAGCCAGACAUACUUGGGGAGUAUCAUAAAGUAAUCGCAGAACAAAUUAAUUCAGGCAUAGUAGAAAAGAUAUCAGAUGAGGAUGAUUGCGCGACAGUUCACUAUAUUCCUCAUCUUGCGGUAAUUCGAAAGGAAGCUAAAACCACGAAAUUAAGAGUUGUUUAUGACGCUUCAGCCAAAAUUGACAAAACCAGCAUGUCGUUGAAUGAUUGUUUGUAUAAGGGGCCAUCGCUUUGCCGUGUGGUAUUCGGAUUGAACGCAUCUCCGUUUUUACUGAACGCAACCUUGCGGCAUCAUAUUUCAAAAUACAAGUCAGAUGACCCAGAAUUUGUUCGAAAACCUUUAGACAGUUUUUACGUAGAUGAUUUAGUGUCUGGUGAAGAUAAUAAUAAUAAUAAAUUAAGAAAAUGGCUAACGAAUGACAAAUAAUUAAGGGAAAAAAUCGACACUCUGAAACUAGGCCUGAAAGUGAUUGUUUACAGCCAAACGCUGAUGGCGAAGAGAGUUAUGCACAACAAACACUAGGAAUAGGCUCGAAGUUAAGUAGCGGUCAUGAAAGAGUUUUCGGUCUUUCAUGGGAUAUUGUAAUUAUAAAUGACAACUUUAUAUUUGAAUUCUCAAAACAUGCUGAAUCGACUAAAAAGUUGACUCUGACUAAACGAAACAUACUCAGUUUACUUGCGAGUCAAUUUGCAUGGGCGAUGGGUGGAUUGGUCCUAUUAUUAUUAUUCGCAUGAAAAUGUUGUUUCAGGAGAUUUGUCGAGAAAACCUUGACUGGGAUGUAAAUUUAGAAGGGCAAUUUAAACUCAAGUGGGAAGAAAUAGUAAGACAUUUGUUAGCAAUCAAAGAGAUUAAGGUAAGUCGAUGCAUUUAUAAACAUCCGAAGCGGGUAAUCCGCAAGUGCUUUCUCCACGGGUUUGGAGACGCAAGCACUAUAGGUUAUUGCGCUGUUGUAUAUUUGGUAUAUCAGGGGGAAAACGGAAUAUAUACAGCAUUGCUUACUUCAAAGUGCCGAGUGGCACCACUGAAAGAAUGAACUAUCCCACGAUUAGAACUUAUGUCAGCAAAAAUUAUGGCUCAAUUAAUGGAUAGUGUAAUGAAAGCCAUGGAACGUGACAUUAAAUUUAAUGGAUUGAAAUAUUGGUUAGACAGUAAAACAGCCCUGUGUUGGAUUGAAAACAGGGGGGAGUGGAAACAAUUUGUUCGUCACCGCGUUGGUGAAAUUUUAAAAUUAACAAACAAAAAUGAUUGGGAGUACUGUCCGAGCGCGGAAAAUGCCGCAGACUUAGGCUCAAGAGGCACGUUUGGCUCUGAUUUGAAAGACGAAAAGCUUUGGUGGCACGGACCUUUAUGGUUAAGUCAAGAGGAACAUAAUUGGCCACAAAAGGCAAAUAUUAUAAGUACCCCGGAGAGCGAUGGUGAGAAGAAAAUUUCUCGGUGUCACUGUGUUAGUUGUCGAAAUAACAGAACCGUGCAGUAUUGACCAAGUUUUAGACAUAAGUCGAUAUAUAUAGUCAUAUAGACAUAUAGUUCUUUGAGAAAACUCGUGAGAGUCACAGCACUCGUUUUACUUUUGUCUAUAAGCUGAGAACCCGGAACGUAUUACAGCAUGAUGAAAAUGAGUUGACAGAUCGGGAAGUUAUUACCCUAGAUCGAGAGGAAUUAAUUAACGCAGAAAAUGCGUGGGUUGAAGUGGCGCAAACAGAGUUACGCAAACAGGAUAAUUUUGAUCAACUUAAAAGGACGUUAAAUAUAAUUGAAGAUGAAAAUGGCAUUCUUAGGUGCGUAGGAAGACUUGAAAAUUCAGAUUUAAGUGAUUUUGCUCGUAGACCUUUAAUUUUGCUUAGAGAACACAGGUUUACUAAUUUAGUUAUUGAAGAUUGUCAUACUAGAGUUCACCACAGUGGACUUUAUAGAAGGUCGUUAGGCGAAUUGCGUUCAAGGUACUGGGUACCAAGAGCGAGGCAGAUUGUUAAGAAAAUAAUUCAUAAGUGUGUCAUAUGUAAGAAGGUUGCAGGAAAGUCUUAUACGGCCCAACCUAUGGCGGCCUUACCAGAGUUUCGAGUACGUGAAAGUUUCCCGUUUUCAAAAGUCGGAGUUGAUUUUGCCGGACCAUUAUUUGUUAAGAGUAAGAUAGGAGAAUCGAAAAAGGCUUACAUUGCCCUUUUCUCUUUUUGCGUGACACGUGCGAUACAUCUGGAAUUAGUUGAAGAUUUGACAUCACAAACAUUUAGACGAGCACUUAGGCGUUUUUCGAGUAGACGCGGAACUCCGGCCCUGAUAGUUUCAGACAAUGCUAAGACAUUUCGUGCAACACAGAAGGCUCUAAAACAGUUGU
This is a non-coding RNA of Paramuricea clavata, 3101 nucleotides long. NCBI's taxonomy places the organism in Eukaryota, Metazoa, Cnidaria, Anthozoa, Malacalcyonacea, Plexauridae. The record is from the annotation of a GenBank genome assembly.